AGUAACGCGUGGGCAACCUGCCCCAUAGAGGGGGACAACAGCUGGAAACGGCUGCUAAUACCGCAUAACAAGGAGAGAGCGCAUGUUCUUUUCUUCAAAGAUUUAUCGCUAUGGGAUGGACCCGCGUCUGAUUAGCUGGUUGGUGAGGUAACGGCUCACCAAGGCGACGAUCAGUAGCCGGCUUGAGAGAGUGGACGGCCACAUUGGAACUGAGACACGGCCCAGACUCCUACGGGAGGCAGCAG
Molecule: ribosomal RNA, 245 nt
Filed under: uncultured bacterium
Lineage: Bacteria
Description: partial 16S ribosomal RNA
Rfam family: Bacterial small subunit ribosomal RNA
Source: RNAcentral